Molecule: unclassified non-coding RNA, 240 nt
Filed under: Hevea brasiliensis (rubber tree)
Lineage: Eukaryota; Viridiplantae; Streptophyta; Magnoliopsida; Malpighiales; Euphorbiaceae
Source: RNAcentral
GGAAUGGUGAACCUGAAAAUCAAGAAAGAGGAGAAAAAGAAUGAAGGUCCAAGUCAAGCUCAAUUCUGCAUCUGGUUAACAGUUGGCUCAAUUCGAUUGAUCGUGAUGAAGUUUGGAUUUCAGAGUUGUACAUCGAGGUAAAUUUUAGAUCUUUUAUAUGUAAUGUCAGGAGUUUUAACGAUUGUUCCAAUUUUGUUUCACAAUGUAAAGAGAAAUUUUUUAUUUUAGACCAUAGACGGG